AGUAGUACCUGCCCACUGAAAUUUUAAAGGGCUGCAGUAUUUUAACUGUACAAAGGUAGCAUAAUCAUUAGUUUUUUAAUUGAAAGCUAGAAUGAAUGGUUUGAUGAAAAAAUUUCUGUUUCAAUAUUAAUUUUUUAAAAUUUUAUAUUUAAGUUAAAAAGCUUAAAUUGAUUUAAAAGACGAGAAGACCCUAUAGAAUUUUAUUUUUUAUUUAAUUUUAAAAUUAAAGUAUUUAAAAGUUUAAAUUUAUUUAAAAAUUUAAUUGGGGUGAUUGAAAAAUUUAAUUAACUUUUUUUUUAUAUACAUUUAUUUAUGAUUUUUUGAUCCAUUAAAAUGAUUAUAAAAUU
This 347-nucleotide ribosomal RNA is filed under the name Scymnus martensi. Its description in RNAcentral is "partial 16S ribosomal RNA". Lineage: Eukaryota; Metazoa; Arthropoda; Insecta; Coleoptera; Coccinellidae. The record is from RNAcentral.